This 73-nucleotide transfer RNA is filed under the name Stegodyphus mimosarum. It matches the Rfam family "tRNA". Rfam says of the family: Transfer RNA (tRNA) molecules are approximately 80 nucleotides in length. Their secondary structure includes four short double-helical elements and three loops (D, anti-codon, and T loops). Further hydrogen bonds mediate the characteristic L-shaped molecular structure. tRNAs have two regions of fundamental functional importance: the anti-codon, which is responsible for specific mRNA codon recognition, and the 3' end, to which the tRNAs corresponding amino acid is attached (by aminoacyl-tRNA synthetases). tRNAs cope with the degeneracy of the genetic code in two manners: having more than one tRNA (with a specific anti-codon) for a particular amino acid; and 'wobble' base-pairing, i.e. permitting non-standard base-pairing at the 3rd anti-codon position. Lineage: Eukaryota; Metazoa; Arthropoda; Arachnida; Araneae; Eresidae. The record is from Rfam by way of RNAcentral.
GCUUUCGUGGUGUAAUGGUUAACACACAUGGUGCGUAUUCGAAAGGUCCGAGGUUCGAAUCCUGGCGAGGGCA